RNAcentral lists this transfer RNA (72 nucleotides) under Nematostella vectensis (starlet sea anemone). It matches the Rfam family "tRNA". From Rfam's summary of the family: Transfer RNA (tRNA) molecules are approximately 80 nucleotides in length. Their secondary structure includes four short double-helical elements and three loops (D, anti-codon, and T loops). The record is from Rfam by way of RNAcentral. Lineage: Eukaryota; Metazoa; Cnidaria; Anthozoa; Actiniaria; Edwardsiidae.
GUCCGUGGCGCAAUCGGUUGGCGCGUUAGGCUGUUAUCCUAUAGGUUAGUGGUUCAAGCCCACCCUGGGAUG